GAUGAACGCUGGCGGCGUGCCUAACACAUGCAAGUCGAGCGAACAGACGAGGCGCUUGCUCCUUUGACGUUUGCGGCGGGCGGGUGAGUAACACGUGGAUACCCUACCUAUCAGACUGGGAUCAUUUCGGGAAACCGGCUAUAACCCCGGAUAAUAUCUUGAACCGCGUGGGUCAAUAGUGAAAGACGGCUUUGCUGUCUCUACUAGCUGGUUACGAGCUGCAUUAGCUAGUUGGUAAGGUAACAGCUUUCUACGGCGACGAUGCGUAGCCGACCUAAGAGGGUGAUCGGCCACACUGGAACUGAGACACGGUCCAGACUCCUGCGAGAGGCAGCAGUAGGGAACCGUCCGCAAUGGGCGAAAGCCUGACAGAGCAACGCCGCGUGAGUGAUGAAGGUCUUCGGAGCGUAAAGCUCUGUUAUUAGUGAAGAACAAAUGUGUAAGUAACUAUGCACGUCUUGACGGUACCUGAUCAGAAAGCAACGGCUAACUACGUG
Molecule: ribosomal RNA, 497 nt
Filed under: uncultured bacterium
Lineage: Bacteria
Description: partial 16S ribosomal RNA
Rfam family: Bacterial small subunit ribosomal RNA
Source: RNAcentral